GUCGGUGACCAUAAACCAGGGGUCACACCUGUUCCCAUUCCGAACACAGCAGUUAAGCCCUGGUUGCCGAUGAUACUGCUCCGCGGGAAAGUAGGUCGUCGCCGGCU
RNAcentral lists this ribosomal RNA (107 nucleotides) under Phycisphaerae bacterium. Lineage: Bacteria; Pseudomonadati; Planctomycetota; Phycisphaerae. The record is from RNAcentral.